RNAcentral lists this transfer RNA (72 nucleotides) under Aedes aegypti (yellow fever mosquito). It matches the Rfam family "tRNA". From Rfam's summary of the family: Transfer RNA (tRNA) molecules are approximately 80 nucleotides in length. The record is from Rfam by way of RNAcentral. Lineage: Eukaryota; Metazoa; Arthropoda; Insecta; Diptera; Culicidae.
GGGUCCGUAGCCGUGAGGUUACGCUUUCGCUUCAUAAGCGAAAGGUUAUGGGUUCGAUUCCCAGCCCCUCCA